Molecule: ribosomal RNA, 435 nt
Filed under: uncultured Oscillospiraceae bacterium
Lineage: Bacteria; Bacillati; Bacillota; Clostridia; Eubacteriales; Oscillospiraceae
Description: partial 16S ribosomal RNA
Rfam family: Bacterial small subunit ribosomal RNA
Source: RNAcentral
ACGGAAGGCAGCAGUCGGGAAUAUUGCGCAAUGGAGGAAACUCUGACGCAGUGACGCCGCGUAUAGGAUGAAGGUUUUCGGAUUGUAAACUAUUGUCGUUAGGGAAGAUAAAAGACAGUACCUAAGGAGGAAGCUCCGGCUAACUACGUGCCAGCAGCCGCGGUAAUACGUAGGGAGCAAGCGUUAUCCGGAUUUAUUGGGUGUAAAGGGUGCGUAGACGGGAAGACAAGUUAGUUGUGAAAUCCCUCGGCUUAACUGAGGAACUGCAACUAAAACUAUCUUUCUUGAGUGCGGGAGAGGAAAGUGGAAUUCCUAGUGUAGCGGUGAAAUGCGUAGAUAUUAGGAGGAACACCAGUGGCGAAGGCGACUUUCUGGACCGUAACUGACGUUGAGGCACGAAAGUGUGGGGAGCAAACAGGAUUAGAUACCCUGGUA